AUCGAGAGUGUGGAUGGCUGACACUCCGCCUGUCAAUAGUAGGCAUCUCGCGAGAGUCUUGAUCGUAUAUUGAGGUGGCGGUUUGCGCCGCUAUAGAGACUGAGAUAGCUUUGCUCUCAAUUAGUAUACUGUUCUUCUAGACCAAAAUCCAAAUUCUAGUAAUGAUGAGUCGAUUAUUGGAGGUAGCUGUCUUCUUGAAAAUUAUAAGCGGCUUCCAACGACUUAUAUAAAAUGUUUGACACAUUCAACCAUGGAGAGGUACACAAUUGAGCAGCGCGUUAAGAUUGUUGAAGCCUUUUACGAAAAUUGGCGUUCAAAUCAAAAUGCAUAUCGUGCACUUCGUGAUUUUUUUGCAAACCCUGUCUGUAAGAAAUGUGGAAACACCUGUGCAUGCUCGACCCGUUCGUUCUGCAGGAAACAUUGCUGUUGUUCGCGAUAGUGUGGCAGAAGAGCCGUCAACCUCGACUCGUCGUCGUACCCAACAAUUAAACAUCUCCCGAACAUCACUGAUGCGAAUUUUGAAUAAACAUCUGGAUUUACACGCUUACAAGG
This is a long non-coding RNA of Diorhabda sublineata, 552 nucleotides long. RefSeq lists it as uncharacterized. Lineage: Eukaryota; Metazoa; Arthropoda; Insecta; Coleoptera; Chrysomelidae. The transcript has 3 exons. The record is from RefSeq and is a predicted model, not a curated record.